CCCGUACCAUAGUCCCAUUUAACUACUUGUGUUUACCAUCCAUAUUUUACAGACUGUUCAGUGUUAGGUUUUCCCCGUACCAUAGUCCCAUUUAACUACUUGUGUUUACCAUCCAUAUUUUACAGACUGUUCAGUGUUAGGUUUUCCCCGUACCAUAGUCCUAUUUAACUACUUGUGUUUACCAUCCAUAUUUUAGAGACUGUUCAGUGUUAGGUUUUCCCUUACCAUAGUCCCAUUUAACUACUAGUGUUUACCAUCCAUAUUUUACAGACUGUUCAGUGUUAGGUUUUCCCCGUACCAUAGUCCUAUUUAACUAC
This is a long non-coding RNA of Mytilus californianus (California mussel), 317 nucleotides long. RefSeq lists it as uncharacterized. Lineage: Eukaryota; Metazoa; Mollusca; Bivalvia; Mytilida; Mytilidae. The record is from RefSeq and is a predicted model, not a curated record. The transcript is spliced from 3 exons.